CUUUGAGCUGUUCACACCUGUGGCUACCCCUGGAAAGCGCUGGGGUUGUUGAUGCUUUUGGCUGCCCGGCUUCCUGAGGUCUCGCUGCUUUCUGGGGAAAGAUGACUGGCUUCCAUGUGGGAAGCUUUUGUCUGACAUGUGAUGAUGUGGUCCUGCCUGCCACUGUGCACCAUCCCAGUGCCACGGUGUCAGUCAGUGAUCUGAGGAAAUCCUGUAGGGGAAGGCAGGCUGCAGUGAAAACAGGAGCUGGUGAAACCGAGCCCUCUGCAUCUGCGAACGUGCCCU
This 285-nucleotide small RNA is filed under the name Pan troglodytes (chimpanzee). RNAcentral's name for it is "processed transcript". The record is from RNAcentral. Lineage: Eukaryota; Metazoa; Chordata; Mammalia; Primates; Hominidae.